RNAcentral lists this ribosomal RNA (1158 nucleotides) under Machaerota sp. 'harrisae'. RNAcentral's name for it is "SSU rRNA". It matches the Rfam family "Eukaryotic small subunit ribosomal RNA", at positions 638 to 1752 of the family's 1831-position model. Lineage: Eukaryota; Metazoa; Arthropoda; Insecta; Hemiptera; Machaerotidae. The record is from RNAcentral.
CUGUCGGUGUUAACUGGCAUGUUCUGUGGAACGUCCUGCCGGUGGUGGUCCGGGCUCUCGUUCUGCGUAAGGGCUACCCGAAGCAGUUCGAAAAGUUCCGGCCGCCGGUUCAAUCCCGCCACGGUGCUCUUCACCGAGUGUCGAGGUGGGCCGGCACUUUUACUUUGAACAAAUUAGAGUGCUUAAAGCAGGCGGUUUCCGCCUGAAUACUGUGUGCAUGGAAUAAUGGAAUAGGACCUCGGUUCUAUUUUGUUGGUUUUCAGAACCCGAGGUAAUGAUUAAUAGGGACAGGCGGGGGCAUUCGUAUUGCGACGUUAGAGGUGAAAUUCUUGGAUCGUCGCAAGACGAACCUAAGCGAAAGCAUUUGCCAAGUAUGUUCUCGUUAAUCAAGAACGAAAGUUAGAGGUUCGAAGGCGAUCAGAUACCGCCCUAGUUCUAACCAUAAACGAUGCCAGCCAGCGAUCCGCCGAAGUUCCUCCGAUGACUCGGCGGGCAGCUUCCGGGAAACCAAAGCUUUUGGGUUCCGGGGGAAGUAUGGUUGCAAAGCUGAAACUUAAAGGAAUUGACGGAAGGGCACCACCAGGAGUGGAGCCUGCGGCUUAAUUUGACUCAACACGGGAAACCUCACCAGGCCCGGACACCGGAAGGAUUGACAGAUUGAGAGCUCUUUCUUGAUUCGGUGGGUGGUGGUGCAUGGCCGUUCUUAGUUGGUGGAGCGAUUUGUCUGGUUAAUUCCGAUAACGAACGAGACUCUAGCCUGUUAACUAGGCGAUUCCCGGUACCCACAAUAGUGUUACCGGCGAUUCAAUUUCUUCUUAGAGGGACAGGCGGCUUCUAGCCGCACGAGACUGAGCAAUAACAGGUCUGUAAUGCCCUUAGAUGUUCUGGGCCGCACGCGCGCUACACUGAAGGAAUCAGCGUGUCUUCCCUGGCCGACAGGCCCGGGUAACCCGUUGAACCUCCUUCGUGCUAGGGAUUGGGGCUUGCAAUUUUUCCCCAUGAACGAGGAAUUCCCAGUAAGCGCGAGUCAUAAGCUCGCGUUGAUUACGUCCCUGCCCUUUGUACACACCGCCCGUCGCUACUACCGAUUGAAUGAUUUAGUGAGGUCUUCGGACUGGUGCGCGGCUGUCGGGUCUCCGGCAGCCGAUGUUGCCGGAA